CAACCCAACCAAUUUAACUCAGAUCACACAAGGUGAACAGAAAGGAUACUUCAAGAAACAAAAUUGCAGUGAUGAUCGUUGCUUGGCUUAUUUGUUGCCCAAACCAUAUCAAAUUUAAGGUGCAACAAUGUCACAGGUCAAUGAAAAGCAGCAUGCAGUUAUGCCAACAACUAUCAAUCACCUGGUUAUAGUCAAUAUAAUUUUGGAAGACUAACAUCCGGAAAAAAUAUUAUAAGCAAUUCACACUGAAAUCUAUUUUAGAUAAAAAUAUGAUAUUCAUUUUGCACAG
RNAcentral lists this unclassified non-coding RNA (289 nucleotides) under Hevea brasiliensis (rubber tree). The record is from RNAcentral. Lineage: Eukaryota; Viridiplantae; Streptophyta; Magnoliopsida; Malpighiales; Euphorbiaceae.